AUUUUUUUAUUUUUUUUUUGCAAUUGUAGUUGUUGUUGUUGCUUCCAUUUCAUCCUUAGCACCCAAAAAGAAAUGUUAAUGAGAUUGAAGCACACAAAGAGAAAAUUCAAUUAAAAAGCGCUUCUCAAAUAUUCAUUAUGUCAGAUCUAAUGUUGUUCCUGUUUUUCUUGAAGUGGGUGCUGUUAAUUAGCGCACAAAAAUCAGCUGCGGUUUUUUGUCUUGAGCCCAAACAGGAAUAAAACUUGCCAAAUGCCACAGCAGUUGUCGCAAGUGCCACAAGAGCUCAGUUAGAGAUGCGGAUAGAGCAAAAGAGAGGCAAAUGGCCCAGCGUAGAGGAGCGUUGAGUGAGACAAGGACAUUGCCAAAGUUGUGCCAUGUUUUAUGAGCAAAGUUGUUGCUUAAAAACCACUUGAAGCAGCUCACAAAUUGUGGUUAUUGUGGUUGUUGCCGUUGUUGUUGCUGUUCCUGCUGCUGCCUUUUGUGGCAUGAUGAAUUGUCAUGAAAUUUAAUCAAUUUAUUUGAAACGUGCGCCGGCACGAGACGUUUUAGCCCAUAAAUAACGCCGGCUAAACUAAAAAUGUGACAAUGCCAAAGUGUCAAAGUAAAUAACAAACAAUGAAAA
Molecule: non-coding RNA, 622 nt
Organism: Drosophila virilis
Lineage: Eukaryota; Metazoa; Arthropoda; Insecta; Diptera; Drosophilidae
Source: RefSeq, a predicted model, not a curated record